CACAUGCAAGUCGAGGGGUAUAGUUCUUCGGAACUAGAGAACCGGCGCACGGGUGCGUAACGCGUAUGCAAUCUACCUUAUACAGGGGAAUAGCCCAGAGAAAUUUGGAUUAAUGCCCCAUAGUAUUACGAAACGGCAUCGUUUUGUGAUUAAAGUUCCAACGGUAUAAGAUGAGCAUGCGUCCCAUUAGUUAGUUGGUAAGGUAACGGCUUACCAAGGCGAUGAUGGGUAGGGGUCCUGAGAGGGAGAUCCCCCACACUGGUACUGAGACACGGACCAGACUCCUACGGGAGGCAGCAGUGAGGAAUAUUGGUCAAUGGGCGCAAGCCUGAACCAGCCAUGCCGCGUGCAGGAAGAAUCAUCUAUGGUGUGUAAACUGCUUUUAUACAGGAAGAAACCUCCCUACGAGUAGGGACUUGACGGUACUGUAGGAAUAAGGAUCGGCUAACUCCGUGCCAGCAGCCGCGGUAAUAC
This 474-nucleotide ribosomal RNA is filed under the name uncultured Flavobacterium sp. Its description in RNAcentral is "bacterial SSU rRNA". It matches the Rfam family "Bacterial small subunit ribosomal RNA", at positions 52 to 526 of the family's 1533-position model. The record is from RNAcentral. Lineage: Bacteria; Pseudomonadati; Bacteroidota; Flavobacteriia; Flavobacteriales; Flavobacteriaceae.